ACGUAGAAUAUUAAUGGUCGAACAGACCAACCUUUAAAGACUUCUGCAUCUUUGGGAUAUUCUGGUCCAACAUCGAGGUCACAAACUUUUUUUUCGAUUAGAGCUCUAAAAAAAAAUAAUGCUGUUAUCCCUACGGUAACUAAUUCUUUUGGUCAAAUAGUUUUGGGUCGUAGCUGAAAGCUUGUUGAGAAAAGGAGGUUUUGGGUGCUCCUUGGUUGCCCCAACCAAAGUCUUUAGUAUUUUGAUUUCAGUUUAGUUAUGAGUACUAUACUAAUUUUUUUUAAGCUCGAUAGGGUCUUCUUGUCUUUUAGUAAUAUAUAGGCUUUUUCACCUAUAGAUAAAGUUUUAAGAAAUGAUACUGAGACAGGUUUAUCCAUGUCAAACCAUUCAUUCUAGCCCUCAAUUAUAGGGCAAGUUAUUAUGCUACCUUUGCACAGUCAGGGUACUGCGGCCGUUUAAGGUUCACCGGGCAGGUAUGAUUUCUUAUGGGUGUCAAGAAACGAUGUUUUU
This 510-nucleotide ribosomal RNA is filed under the name Hemilienardia ocellata. Its description in RNAcentral is "partial 16S ribosomal RNA". Lineage: Eukaryota; Metazoa; Mollusca; Gastropoda; Neogastropoda; Raphitomidae. The record is from RNAcentral.